RNAcentral lists this ribosomal RNA (442 nucleotides) under uncultured bacterium. Its description in RNAcentral is "bacterial SSU rRNA". It matches the Rfam family "Bacterial small subunit ribosomal RNA", at positions 958 to 1398 of the family's 1533-position model. The record is from RNAcentral.
AACGCGAAGAACCUUACCUACUCUUGACAUCCUGCGAACCUAACUGAGAAGUCGGGGUGCCGCAAGGAACGCAGAGACAGGUGCUGCAUGGCUGUCGUCAGCUCGUGUUGUGAGAUGUUGGGUUAAGUCCCGUAACGAGCGCAACCCUUGUCCUUAGUUGCCAGCGAGUAAUGUCGGGGACUCUAAGGAGACUGCCGGUGAUGAACCGGAGGAAGGUGGGGACGACGUCAAGUCAUCAUGGCCUUUAUGAGUAGGGCUACACACGUGCUACAAUGGGGCGCACAGAGGGUCGCGAACCCGCGAGGGGAAGCUAAUCUCAGAAAACGUCUCUUAGUCCGGAUUGGAGUCUGCAACUCGACUCCAUGAAGUUGGAAUCGCUAGUAAUCGCGAAUCAGCAACGUCGCGGUGAAUACGUUCCCGGGCCUUGUACACACCGUAGUAC